GUUCUUUAUUUGUAGAUAUAAAAUCAAUAAUAUCUACAACUUGGAGACUAGCCAUUAGAUGAAAAUACUGAACAUUGUUAAACACCAGAGGUGUGACAAUCUAGACAAAAUGUCUACAACGGCAACAAGACUACAGCACAUUCCGGGCUACCAAAACAAACUUAGAAGCACAUUACCCUACUACUAAAUUCAUUAGUUGUCUUUGUCUAACAAGAAAAGAGUUAAAAUACGACAAACAAAGCUACUACUUCAGUAAACAAACUAAGCACGCUCGCCUCUAAUUCGCCUGGCAAGCUGAAUGUCCUUUGGCAUGAUAGUCACACGCUUGGCGUGAAUGGCACAAAGGUUAGUGUCCUCAAAGAGACCCACCAAGUAGGCCUCAGCAGCCUCUUGCAGAGCUAGCACCGCAUGACUCUGGAAACGCAAAUCAGUCUUG
Molecule: unclassified non-coding RNA, 436 nt
Filed under: Hevea brasiliensis (rubber tree)
Lineage: Eukaryota; Viridiplantae; Streptophyta; Magnoliopsida; Malpighiales; Euphorbiaceae
Source: RNAcentral